AUUACUGUCAUUGUUGCCACCACAAGCACCAGCACUACUAAGCCUAGCAUUGCUGCACAAUUUUUUUAAAAGAUAAAAAAUAAAUAAUUGGAUAUUUAUUUUCUCAUUUGUUUGUGUAUUUUCCUCUAACGAGCAUUGCAAAAAAAGUAAAAAAAUGUUUAAGCAAAAUGAAGCAGAACAAAAUAAAAGGAGAGAGAGAGAGAGAUGAAGAAAAAACUGGAAAUUUCAAAAUCCAUAAAUCUAAAAUAAGUAAAUCUAAUAGGUAAACAAAUCUCAAAUCCCUCAACCAAACACUUUUUUUUUUUUAUCACCAUCUUCCCCUUUCUCCACUAAUUCUGGCGGCGACGGCGGUGACUAUGUGUGAUAGCCAAAUCUCCAAUCAACUCAAUUUUAUUGCACUUUCAGUAACUCCGGCGACGACGGUAGUGGCUAUUGUAACCUCCUUUGUUUCCUUCAAUUUUCUCUCAAUAUCUAAGAUUAAGUUUUGGAUUUGAUGGGAUUUGAAAAAGGACAAUAUUUGGAUUCUAGUGUCUUUAUAGGUUUCUUAGUUUGAGUUUUAAUUAAAAUUUAAAGGGAAGAUUUUAGAGAUGGUGAUGCUUUGUUGGCGUUGAUUUGCCAUUGAUGGCUGUGGAGCUUAGCUAUUGAAUUUGAUUGUUGAAAAUGGGGAGGAAAAAGACGUGCUUGGUUGAGAAGCAAAUGACCUUUUUGGUGGAUGUCUAGAGGUCUAGACCUAAUGUUAAAGUUUAUAUUGCAAGUGAGGGCAUUUUCGAAAUUCUAUAAUUAUUGGACGGAAAAAUUAUUGAUUUUAAAUGGAAUGACUUUUCUAUUAGCGGGAUUAAAAUUUAAAGACCUUGAAGUUGAUUUUUGAAAAUUGGUACCCUUAAAC
RNAcentral lists this long non-coding RNA (886 nucleotides) under Jatropha curcas. RNAcentral describes it as "long non-coding RNA (JCUR_LNC002280)". The record is from RNAcentral. Lineage: Eukaryota; Viridiplantae; Streptophyta; Magnoliopsida; Malpighiales; Euphorbiaceae.